GCCAGCAGCAGAUUUAUGACAAUUCCAUAAAUUACAACAUUGUUACAGCAUUUGAUUUAUAAAGUGAUUAAAUAAUGAAACGAAAACGCACACAAAACACACCACAGAGUACAUUAUGAUGACAUUGUGUAGGCUACAAUAUUACAACACCUAGAUUUAUAACAAACAUAAGAAUGAAGCAUACACUUCUAGGGGUUCUUCAUGACCAAACUGCUAAUAUAUUUACAUAGGCUACAUAUGAACAUAUUUAUACAAUAACCCGCAGGACUACGUGUGUGUCAUUAACCGUUCAGUCAGCUAAUCAGUAUCUGUCAGUAUCUGUCCGAGACAACUCAACUGUCUCCGUGCCACAGAUGUGUGUGUGACAGUAUGAUAGUCACUCAGUCAUCCUUUAGAAACGUUUUCAUAUUGUUCUGUAUAAAGAGAGUCAUUAACAUAUUGUUCUGUAUAAAGAGGGUAAUUAACAUAUUGUUCUGUAUAAAGAGGGUAAUUAAGACAAAAUAUCUGUAUAAAGAGGGUAAUUAACAUAUUGUUCUGUAUAAAGACGGUAAUUAACAUAUUGUUCUGUAUAAAGAGGGUAAUUAAAACAAAAUCUCUGUAUAAAGAGGGUAAUUAACAUAUUGUUGUGUAUAAAGAGGGUAAUUAACAUAUUGUUGUGUGUAAAGAGGGUAAUUGACAUAUUGUUCUCUAUGAAUGGUAAUUAACAUAUUGUUCCGUAUAAAUAAGGGUAAUUCACAUAUUUGUUUUAUGAAGUAUGUAAGUGACAUGAGUAACAUCAGAACAACAAUGCAGGAAUGCAACUCAUUUGAAUAUGUGUCUUACUAGACCUGUGGAUUUCAGUCAUCAUGUUGAGGGUUGAGUGUUGAUAGUUCUUCCUGUUCUAUGUUAUGGACUGUGGGAAUUUGGGCUAAAGACAGUUUUGGUAAGUUUGACAAUUAAUGUCAAAGUAAUACUGUAAUUUCUCUUUGUCAUCUGAACAGUAAAACCUACCUUCUCAUUUUAUUUCUCAGUUUGCACCACAGUACCACAGCAGCUCCACAGCACACAGCAAUGAAACACAGUGAACCCAUCACUGCAACAAUCCCUGUUGGCUUAACUGUGAAAGAUGACAAGAUGAGAAUGGUACAAUUCACAGAUAAGAGUCAGAGAUUAGUUGUGGUCAUUAUAUUAAUGCCUGACCACUGAUCCUGUCACCAUCAGUGACCUCAGGAAAUGAAGCUUGAGUUCUAGCUGGAAUAACCAUGGAAACGUUCUUGGUGACACCUCCAGAGAACAGUGACACCACACAGCCAACCCUGGUGUCUUUGUCAGGUAGUCUGAAUGCUGCCAGCGUGGAAGUUAUGAUGACAGUGACAGUACCAUUGAGAUGGGUGACAUUGAUCAUUGUGGAAUUUUCUAGAAUUUCUGUGUUGUCCCAGGUUACUAUAGGAACAGGUCGUCCAGUAGCAGAACAGGACAGAGUGGUGUGACUGUUGUUGGUUUGUGUGAUGAGGAGUGAGGGUCUAUACAGCUCUAUAGGAAAACAACAAACAGGUCACAGUCAAUGUAAAUACUAUAAUGUUUUCAAGCCCAUCACAUGGUCAAAUUGAUCUAUGAUGUUUGGAGGCCAUUGCUCCUGUGAUAAAUGGAUAUUACACAUUGUUCCUGUGUUAAAUGGAUAUUACACAUUGUUCCUGUGUUAAAGGGAUAUUACACAUUGUUCCUGUGUUAAAGGGAUAUUACACAUUGUUCCUGUGUUAAAG
Molecule: long non-coding RNA, 1742 nt
Filed under: Salmo salar (Atlantic salmon)
Lineage: Eukaryota; Metazoa; Chordata; Actinopteri; Salmoniformes; Salmonidae
Description: lncRNA (ENSSSAG00000115535.1)
Source: RNAcentral